This 238-nucleotide ribosomal RNA is filed under the name uncultured bacterium. RNAcentral describes it as "partial 16S ribosomal RNA". It matches the Rfam family "Bacterial small subunit ribosomal RNA", at positions 104 to 334 of the family's 1533-position model. The record is from RNAcentral.
CGGGGUGAGUAACACGUGGGUAACCUGCCUAAAAGAAGGGGAUAACACUUGGAAACAGGUGCUAAUACCGUAUAUCUCUAAAGAUCGCAUGAUCUUUAGAUGAAAGAUGGUUCUGCUAUCGCUUUUAGAUGGACCCGCGGCGUAUUAACUAGUUGGUGGGGUAACGGCCUACCAAGGUGAUGAUACGUAGCCGAACUGAGAGGUUGAUCGGCCACAUUGGGACUGAGACACGGCCCAA